CGGAAAGUGUGUAGUUACGGCGCGGGUGUACGGGUGGUGCGAGUGGUAAGCUGUAUUUCUGUGCGGAAGGCGCGCGUUGUGUGCUUGUUAAGUAUGAUGGGAAAGCCCGUGGGUCAACCUGGGAUUGGCAUGUGAUACUGGCAAGCUAGUGGAUGGGAUAGGGUAGUAGAAUUCCAGGUGUAGCGGUGAAAUGCGUAGAUAUCUGGAGGAACAUCAGUGGCGAAGGCGGCUACCUGGACCAAUACUGACGCUGAGGUGCGAAAGCGUGGGGAGCAAACAGGAUUAGAUACCCAGUAGUC
RNAcentral lists this ribosomal RNA (299 nucleotides) under uncultured Rhizobium sp. RNAcentral describes it as "partial 16S ribosomal RNA". The stretch from base 53 to 299 matches the Rfam family "Bacterial small subunit ribosomal RNA", at positions 548 to 795 of the family's 1533-position model. Lineage: Bacteria; Pseudomonadati; Pseudomonadota; Alphaproteobacteria; Hyphomicrobiales; Rhizobiaceae. The record is from RNAcentral.